RNAcentral lists this ribosomal RNA (484 nucleotides) under uncultured bacterium. Its description in RNAcentral is "partial 16S ribosomal RNA". It matches the Rfam family "Bacterial small subunit ribosomal RNA", at positions 30 to 507 of the family's 1533-position model. The record is from RNAcentral.
AUUGAACGCUGGCGGCAGGCCUAACACAUGCAAGUCGAGCGGAUGAAGGGAGCUUGCUCCUGGAUUCAGCGGCGGACGGGUGAGUAAUGCCUAGGAAUCUGCCUGGUAGUGGGGGAUAACGUCCGGAAACGGGCGCUAAUACCGCAUACGUCCUGAGGGAGAAAGUGGGGGAUCUUCGGACCUCACGCUAUCAGAUGAGCCUAGGUCGGAUUAGCUAGUUGGUGGGGUAAAGGCCUACCAAGGCGACGAUCCGUAACUGGUCUGAGAGGAUGAUCAGUCACACUGGAACUGAGACACGGUCCAGACUCCUACGGGAGGCAGCAGUGGGGAAUAUUGGACAAUGGGCGAAAGCCUGAUCCAGCCAUGCCGCGUGUGUGAAGAAGGUCCUCGGAUUGUAAAGCACUUUAAGUGGGGAGGAAGGGCAGUAAGUUAAUACCUUGCUGUUUUGACGUUACCAACAGAAUAAGCACCGGCUAACUUCGUG